GGAGCAGUGGCCGAGCGGCUGAAGGCAGCGGUCUUGAAAACCGCCAGGGGUGCAAGCCCCUCGAAGGUUCGAAUCCUUCCUGCUCCG
RNAcentral lists this transfer RNA (87 nucleotides) under Myxococcaceae bacterium. RNAcentral's name for it is "tRNA-Ser". It matches the Rfam family "tRNA". Rfam says of the family: Transfer RNA (tRNA) molecules are approximately 80 nucleotides in length. Their secondary structure includes four short double-helical elements and three loops (D, anti-codon, and T loops). Further hydrogen bonds mediate the characteristic L-shaped molecular structure. tRNAs have two regions of fundamental functional importance: the anti-codon, which is responsible for specific mRNA codon recognition, and the 3' end, to which the tRNAs corresponding amino acid is attached (by aminoacyl-tRNA synthetases). tRNAs cope with the degeneracy of the genetic code in two manners: having more than one tRNA (with a specific anti-codon) for a particular amino acid; and 'wobble' base-pairing, i.e. permitting non-standard base-pairing at the 3rd anti-codon position. Lineage: Bacteria; Pseudomonadati; Myxococcota; Myxococcia; Myxococcales; Myxococcaceae. The record is from RNAcentral.